CCAAGUCUCAAAUAUUGAAGAAUCUCUAACCAGGGACACCAGUCCCUACGAAGACCUUGGGCGAUUUUGAAGUGCGGGCACCUCGAUUCCCCGAAUCUGUAGUGUGGCUGGUAUCGGUGUUCCCCUGGUUUAACUAGCCUGUUUGAUGGGGAAAUUGAGGCAGAGAAGCCAAGACAUGCGCUAAAGGUCCAUGCAGGCUAUGAAUGGAGCUGGAAUGUAAACGCAGGCCAUGUGACUCCAGAGCCCAUGUUCUUGAACCCUUAGAAAGACAGCAGCAACACACCUGGUGCAGCAGCUGCUUAGUUGGAGUGGCUGACAAGGUUGGCAGAGGAUCCCGUUCCUCCCGUGGAGUGGCUGCCAUGAUACUGCCUGCACUGAAGCUGCUCCUAUUUCUGAAAUAUGUAUUGUUAUUUUUUUCCCUCCAUGUUGAACAUUAUACUCUUCUGUUCUUUCGCA
Molecule: non-coding RNA, 456 nt
Filed under: Pan troglodytes (chimpanzee)
Lineage: Eukaryota; Metazoa; Chordata; Mammalia; Primates; Hominidae
Source: RNAcentral